CGGUGUUCAACUGGCGUGUCCGCGGGACGUCCUGCCGGUGGGCUUAGCCCGCAAGGGCGGCCCAACUUCAAAUCCCAUCGCGGUGCUCUUCACUGAGUGUCGAGGUGGGCCGGCACGUUUACUUUGAACAAAUUAGAGUGCUUAAAGCAGGCUAAAACUUCGCCUGAAUACUGUGUGCAUGGAAUAAUGGAAUAGGACCUCGGUUCUAUUUUGUUGGUUUUCGGAACCCCGAGGUAAUGAUUAAUAGGAACGGAUGGGGGCAUUCGUAUUGCGACGUUAGAGGUGAAAUUCUUGGAUCGUCGCAAGACGGACAGAAGCGAAAGCAUUUGCCAAAAACGCUUUCAUUGAUCAAGAACGAAAGUUAGAGGUUCGAAGGCGAUCAGAUACCGCCCUAGUUCUAACCAUAAACGAUGCCAGCUAGCGAUCCGUCGACGUUCCUCCGAUGACUCGACGGGCAGCUUCCGGGAAACCAAAGCUUUUGGGUUCCGGGGGAAGUAUGGUUGCAAAGCUGAAACUUAAAGGAAUUGACGGAAGGGCACCACCAGGAGUGGAGCCUGCGGCUUAAUUUGACUCAACACGGGAAACCUCACCAGGCCCGGACACCGGAAGGAUUGACAGAUUGAGAGCUCUUUCUUGAUUCGGUGGGUGGUGGUGCAUGGCCGUUCUUAGUUGGUGGAGCGAUUUGUCUGGUUAAUUCCGAUAACGAACGAGACUCUAGCCUGCUAGCUAGGCGUAUUUUCGACAUCUCAAAGGUCCGUCGUCCCGGCCCUCGGGUCGUGGGCGUGCGCGAUUUUUACUGUCGGCGUACUAUCAAUUCUUCUAGAGGGACAGGUGGCUUCUAGCCGCACGAGAUUGAGCAAUAACAGGUCUGUGAUG
RNAcentral lists this ribosomal RNA (876 nucleotides) under uncultured eukaryote. RNAcentral describes it as "SSU rRNA". It matches the Rfam family "Eukaryotic small subunit ribosomal RNA", at positions 636 to 1469 of the family's 1831-position model. The record is from RNAcentral.